GAAAUUUCUCUUUUUUUAGGCGCAAGUAAACUUUAUUGCAUAAUAAUGAAGCCAUAACACGCGGGAUACACAGCCAGAAGACCACGUAUCACUCUGCUGCUGAAAUUACAAUAAAACAAUAAAAGAUCUUAAGCAACCAGUAACUAAGUUUUUGAGUGGAUGGCUGGAGUUUUUUCAUAGAAAUAUGAAAAAUUACUUUUAAUCAAAGGUCCCCGCUGCUAAAAACACCGUGUGAGCAGUUGGAAUAUUUUUCUUUAACCUCGUUCACAUUGUGGACCCAGAAGAUGAGGGACAUGAAUUAUUGAAAAAUUUUCUGCUAAGUCGAGCUUUCUCAACGGAUCAAUGCCCAGUUAUUGCUGGGAUCCGGAAAAGAUAUUAUAGAGCUGAUCUAUUCACUAUCUUUAGCAUUCUUGCCCCAGUGACCAAUUCAAAACUUGAACAUUUGCCUUGUGGUUGAAAGCUCCAAACUAUUGCCAUCGGAACUGGUAACGGCCCUUAGAUCACCGCCUUAAAUCAUCAAUGACUUCUGUGUCAGACUGAUUUGUGUUCAAGGCACACUGGAGAUCGGCAUUCAAUGGUCAAAGAACUUCUGAAAGCAUCUGAUAUUUAACAUCUAAGAAUGUUUGUUUCCUGCAAUGUCCCUGGUUGUCCUAGAUUUCACCUUCACCAAAGAAAACCCAAAUCAUAAUUCCAUUUUGUAGGAUUCAACUUCCAAGCAAUAGGACUGUUUUUUAUCACAACCCACCAGCUAACUGCAGAUUACACUUGGUAUGACCAUGUGUUACACAGCAAUCUUCAAAUAACUGUAAACUUUCAAGCUGGACUUGGCACCUUCAUUGAAAUUUAUCCUCAAAAGAAUUCAAUAUGCAUUCUUUCAUUAAGAUGAAUCGAAAUUUCGGCAGCUUUUGGAUCAAAACCACAAAUGACGUCAUCUUCAGACCAAUGAAGAUAAGAUUCAACUUAGUUUUCCUAUGCUAAAGCUCAUACUGAUCCAAAUUUACCAUCACUGUCCAUGCACUAAUUGAAAAAAUAACGAAGAUGUCAUAAUUUACAGUAUAGCACCCACUUGGUCCUCUUUUAAGGAUUCUAGAUGGAAUGGUCCAGAGAAUUAUUUGUUGUUGCCCCAUUUAACUCAACGGAGCUCCAACCAGAAGGUUUUUGCACAUCUCCUUCCACCAUUAAUUCUCUCACUUUGGAAGCAUCGUCCCAUCUAUCCGAACCAGCAUAAGUAUUUGACAAGAGAACAUAAUUCACACUGUUAGAGGGAUCUAGUUCGAGAAGCUUGUUUGUAGCAAUCUCAGCUAGGACCACAUUUCCAUGAAGCUUACAUGCGCUUAACAAUAUCCUCCAAACUACAACAUCUGGAACUACUGGCAUUGCUUUUAUGAAUUCAUAGGCCCUGUCUAGGUAGCCAGAGCGGCUCAAAAGAUCCACGAUACACCCAUAAUGUUUCAUUUCUGGUGUUAAUCCAUAAACUUUUUCCAUGCUUUCAAAAUAUUCUAAUCCUUCAUCAAUCAAUCCAGCAUGAGUGCAAGCUAGUAAUAUCCCCAUGAAGCUUCCAUGACUUGGCUGAACGCCAUCUCUCAACAUCAGUGAGAAUAUCUCAAAUGCACGAUUGACAAAACCGUUAACAGCAAGGCCUGAUAUUACUGAUGUCCACGAGACACUAUCCCUCUUUUUCAUCUGGUGAAACACCUCCAGUGCUUUCUCAACAACCCCACAUUUGCAAUACAUAUCUAUUAACGCAUUCCCCACAUAAACAUCUGCUCUUAUAUCAUAUCUACAAAUAUAUUCAUGAAUUGCCAGUCCCACAUCAAGUGAACCCAAGUGAGCACAAGCAGAAAGCACAGUAGCUAUCGUAAUCUCAUCUGGUUUCACAUUAGCUUCCAUCAUAUCUUGAAAAAGCUUCACUGCAUCAGAAGAUUGAUUAGCUUGAACAUAACCUGUGAUUAUACAAGUCCAUGAAAUGACAUUCCUAACAGGCAUCUCAUAGAAAAGUUUCCUAGCAUCAAGAAGAUUCCCGACUUUUACAUACCCCGUGAUCAUUGCAUUCCAAGAGACGGCGUUUCUUUCUUUCAUCCCAUUAAAAACGCCCCGCGCCAAAUUCACUAAACCACGUCGACCAUACAUAUCUAUCAAUGUGUUGCCUAAAUAAACAUCAAUAUCCACAUGGUUAUCCUCAAUGUACUUAGCCAUAGAAUCUGCAAUAUCAUCGUGACCCAAAUAGAUACAAGCUAAUAUAACUUUUACCAUCGUAACAGCAUCAGCUUUCACAUUUGCUUCUUGCAUUGAAUUAAACAAACUUAAAACCUCCUUAAAUCUGUUACACUGACUAUAACCACAGAUCAAAGAGUUCCAAGAAACCAAGUCUCUGUUCCUCAUUUGAUCGAACACCUUCUGUGCCCAUUCCAAUUCGCCAAAAGACCCAUACAUUCGAAUCAUAGCGUUUGAUAUAAAAAGGUAGGAUUCAAACCCAAGUUUCAAAGCGUGAACAUGAAAUAUCUGACCAUUUAAAACAUCAUUAAUACGAGAACAAGCCUUGAACAAGAAGAUAAAUGUCAAAUCAUCGCCAACUAUUCCUCGAUGAUACAUUAGAUUAUAGUACAUAUCAAUUGCUUCAUUUGGUCGUUCACUUUUUGACAAACCACGGAUCAAGUUGUUAAAAAUCAAUAGUGUAGGUUGCUGAAUUUGACUAAAAACAAGAAGGGCUUUAUGGAGAUGAGAGGAAGAUAAAGCGUAAGAUCUUAUAACGUCUGACAUUGAACACGGGUCUUCCUGGAGUUGGGUUCUAAUGAGACGUGCUUGUAACUGUUUGAUCGAGUGGAUGGAAAAUGGAUUCUUGAUUACUCGCUCGGGUUUUCUGGUCGCUGAAGAGGUGGUGAAGAGGCAAGAAAU
RNAcentral lists this unclassified non-coding RNA (2895 nucleotides) under Hevea brasiliensis (rubber tree). Lineage: Eukaryota; Viridiplantae; Streptophyta; Magnoliopsida; Malpighiales; Euphorbiaceae. The record is from RNAcentral.